AUGAUUAAGUCCAUCUAGAUAUGGUUAUGUGAUCACCAUCAUCACCGUGAACAUUAUCAUUCUAACUAGUCCAUUGUGACCGUCACUAACAGUAUCACUAUAACCUUCACUACCACCACAACCGUCAUCCCUCUGCCCACCUCACCACCACUCUCACCACUGCUAUUCUUUGCUAACAUUUAUUGGUCCCUUACUAUGUUUAGGCAGAGUGCUAAGGCUUUAUUUGCACCAUCUCGUGUCAGUUUUACAACCUCUGAAGUAGGCACCCUUAGUGUUCCCAUUUUAAAUGGGAAGAAACGGAAGUGUCUUCACAUAUCUAAGACUGGCAGGAUUCAAAUUCAGGUUCACUUGAUUUCAAAAAUUAAACUUUUGACCAGUUGUCAAAUCUUGCAAGUUGAAGGAUCUAUCUGAUGUUUAGCUCUAUCCUCUUGAUAAGUAUUUUACUGCCUAGAAACUCUAUGUGUUAUUCACAGACAUUUAAAAAUUGGCUUUUUCGGUUAUCUAUUAAAAAGUUGAACAAGAUUAUUCUAAGAACAAAUCUCUGGGGAACCCCAAAGUGAGCAAUUUUCAACACAGUCAGGAGUGUUCCACUCUUUAAACAUGUUUUCUAUCUUCAAACCCAGUUCAAAACCUUAAAAUAUUCAGUUCCCUGGUGGUAUGUGACUCAAUGUGACCACAGGUAUGGGAUAUUAUCAGGGGUUUGGGAAAUGUCUCUGAGUUCAAUCCCUGGUCUCGCUCAGUGGAUUAAGGAUCUAGCAUUGCUGCAAGCUGCGGCAUAAGUCGCAGAUGAGUCUCGAAUCUGGCAUUGCUGUGGCUGUGGUGUAGGCUUCAACUGCAGCUUCAAUUCGACCCUUAGCCUGGGAACUUCCAUAUGCCACAGGUGUGGCCAUAAAAAGAAAAAAAAAAGAAUUAUGCCAAGCACUUACUAUACAUUAUCUUAUUUAAUUUUCUCAACUAAUAUCCCCGCUUUUCAGAUGACAAUAUUGAGGCCCAGACUGGUGAAGUGACGUGCUCCAGGUUCCACAGUGAUAAGUAGAGGAGCAGGGAUUUGGUUUCUCCUCUGGGUGCCUGCCAGAGCCUGCAUUUUUAUGCCAUUACUUAGACAUUGGAAUAAAAAGUAGAAGAGUGGGAAUUUAGGGAAAAUGUCAACUUCCCAAAGGGCUCUAUCUUCCUACAGUGCUUAUUGUAUUUGGACCUCGCUUUCAAAAGGCUGUAAGACUAGGUUGAGAAAACACCCAGAAAUACUCCCUGUGCCCCAGAGUCUCUGAGCUACUUGGGGGUGGUGCUGGCUAUCCUCUCUGUGGUUUUAUAAUGCAUUUUCCUCUCCCAGCCCGCAUUGAGACACUGCUCCAAACAAAUGGCAUGUCUGUUACUCUUUCACUAAGAGGGAAAGUUGUCGACUUAUUCUAUGUUGACAAUUACUGUUUUGAAAGAAACUUCUAAAAAUUUAAUAAUUGGGGAUGCUUAGUCACUGAAUAUAGUUUCAAAGGGACUUUAAAAACAAAGUAAUCCUGCCUUACCUACCAAAAAAGUGUAUUGGGGGCCAAACGAGAUGAUACGUUAAUUUUUGAAAAUUACAUGCCUUUACUCAAAUAUAUAUAGGAUAUGUUAUUAGAUCUUGACCCUUGUGGCUUAUGAGCAAGGGCAUCUUGGUGCAGUCAUUCUGAAAGAAGGUAAAGAAAUAAAGUCUGGGCAGAGAUGCUGAAGAGUAGGGAUGUAUAGUGAGUGCGUUGUUAAUCCAACAUAGCAGAUUUUUAGUGCUGUGACCUUGGGCUAAUUGUCUGAUACCUUGAGACCUCAGUUUUUUUUAUUUCAAAGAUGAGGAUACUAAUAGAAGCUCUUUCUAGGGUUGCUGAGACUAUUUGAUAAGCUAAAUAAGGUGCUUAGUUGAGGAACUGCCACAGAGUCACAGCAGCAGAAAUAAGAGCUAUUCUAUUACUUUUCUUAAUCACUUUCUUGAUCUACUGAUAAUCUCAUCUACCCAGACCAGUUGGUGAGCCCCAAGUUGUCCGCUGCCCUUUGGCACAACUGUUAGAAGGCCACCUGCUUGCUGACCAGCGGUUUUCUUUUGCCCAUUAAAAUGCUAUCAUCUUUCUGCAAACCAUGAACACACAGGCAGGAAGGAGGCUGUGAUCCACUGGGUUUUACUGAGUCUGGUUUCUCGCAGCAAAGGCUCAAAAAGCAGUGGAGUGUUUUCACCUUAUUUAGGGAGAAAAAAUUCUGCUGAUUUUCUAAGUCAAGAAUUCCCCAAAUUGGCUAGGGUGCUGUUCCUUGCCUCACCUAUGUGCUCAGGGCCUCCUGAGAAAGAGAGAGAGAGAAACCAAAAAAGAAAAGGAAAAAAAGCUCAGUUUCUCUUUUCCCAGAUUGCUUCUUUAAUUGGUUGGUUUGAACAUGGCCCCAAGUACCCAGUGGCUGCAUUAGAGUUUAAUGACUUGAUCAGUUGUUUGCACUAGCACUGGUCCUAGUUAUUCGAUACUUGCUGUUGCUGUAGGUCAAAGUGACUGGACAUUCUGGUUUUGCAGGGACUGUCCUAGUGACAUGGCUCCAAGUGUUUCUUUUUAGCCCUUAUGACAUAAUGUGGUCCCUUAGCAUUCUCCUAGCCCCACCCAGACUGGAGACAUGAAGCAACUGCUCUUGCAAAGUGUUCAUUAGAAGGAUAAAAUAUCAUCUUUAUUUUCUUCUUCUUUCUUUCUUAAAGAAUUAAAAUGGAGAAGAUGCAGGUAGCUGAUAAUUACAAUCUGAAAAAGCUGUGGAUUCUGGAAAACCAAAGUGCAAUGUAAUUUCUAUAGAAGGAAGAGGCAACUAGUUUGGAAAGGCAGGAGAGUGGUUUAUUAGAGCAGAUUGAAAAUUAAAUAUCAAACCACCUCUGGGAGUUCCUGUCGUGGCACAGUGGUUAACGAAUCCGACUAGGAACCAUGAGGUUGCGGGUUCGAUCCUUGGCCUUGCUCAGUGGGUUAAGGAUCCAGCAUUGCCGUGAGCUGUGGUGUAGGCUGCAGACGCAGCUCGGAUCCCACAUUGCUGUGGCUGUGGUAUAGGCGGGUGGCUACAGCUCCGAUUAGACCCCUAGCCUGGGAACCUCCAUGUGCCGCAGGUGCAGCCCUAGAAAAGG
This 3109-nucleotide long non-coding RNA is filed under the name Sus scrofa (pig). RNAcentral's name for it is "lncRNA (ENSSSCG00000044827.1, ENSSSCG00030003005.1, ENSSSCG00060064491.1, ENSSSCG00170032665.1)". Lineage: Eukaryota; Metazoa; Chordata; Mammalia; Artiodactyla; Suidae. The record is from RNAcentral.